GCCCCCGUAGCUCAGUGGAUAGAGCACAGGAUUCCUAAUCCUGGUGCCGCAGGUCCGAUUCCUGCCGGGGGCACCA
This 76-nucleotide transfer RNA is filed under the name Pseudomonadota bacterium. Its description in RNAcentral is "Proteobacteria bacterium (groundwater metagenome) tRNA-Arg". It matches the Rfam family "tRNA". Rfam says of the family: Transfer RNA (tRNA) molecules are approximately 80 nucleotides in length. RNAcentral also lists the same sequence under 2 other names. Lineage: Bacteria; Pseudomonadati; Pseudomonadota. The record is from RNAcentral.